Nicotiana tabacum (common tobacco) is the source of this 2822-nucleotide long non-coding RNA. RefSeq lists it as uncharacterized. Lineage: Eukaryota; Viridiplantae; Streptophyta; Magnoliopsida; Solanales; Solanaceae. The record is from RefSeq and is a predicted model, not a curated record.
ACUACUAGGCAUAUCAAGAUUUAAGAAAGCCAAAUAAAAGAUAAAGAAGAAGAGAUUUAGCCCUUUCCAUAGCCCAAAUCGGAGGCUCAUAUCCACCAGCCCACCUACUCUACUUCUUUUCCAUGUCAGCUCCACAUAAGCCCUAUGUCAGCGCCACAUAGGCGCCAACGGUCUAAAACACACGCCAAGCACACCCUUCACACUCUGACCACACAUUUUCUAGAGAAUUCUAUAUAUUUUUCUUUAUUUUUAUCUUGUUUUAUCCUAAGCCUAAUCUGAGUCAUCCGUUAUUUUAAUCCAAUGGUCAAUAUUUAUCCCUUCAGUUAAAUCCAAUUUGCUAACCCUGAUCUCUCUCCUAACCCAACAGACGCUUCUUCUCCUCCCUUUCCUCUUCUUCACAAAAUUUCACCUUGCUCAGCCAUGGCAGAACUUGCUAUUACCAUUUUUAACCAGAAGCUCUGCACCUUAAUUAAUUUUCUGCAACAUCAACGUUCAAUAACUUUCACUCAAUUUCGAAAUCCCGCCCAAACCAAGAACCCUAGAAAUCAGCCUAUAAAUACUGACCUUUGAAGAGAUUUUCGGACAAGCUCUGGGCCGCACCUUUACCCCACAAAAAUGGUUGGAGCCGCCUACUUUCACCUCAAAUUAGAGGGCUUCAGUCGCGCCUUUUACCCCCAAAAAACUAAGGCUGGAGCCCCCUCCUUUUACCUUUGUUUAGCCGCUAUCUCUACCUCUCAAAAAGGUUUCUUCUUUUUAAUCUCUCAGUUCUGUUGUUUUGUAACCAAAACAGAAGCUUUUUUUUUUUAUUUGUCCCGGUGAUUAAUCGUUAGUUCGGGUAGCAAGUUCAGAGGUCGGAGUUCGAUAGUGCACCUAAGAUCCCCGCCUCAGUUUGCUUCCCUGCAAAAAGUUCGUAUCUUUUUCUCUUUCGCAAUAUUUCGGUUCUGAUUAGAGCAUGUUCGAUACUUGAUGCAUCUUUGUUUCAAUACAUGUUAGUUUUUGUUAGGCUUCCACAUUUUAAUACUAUAAAGAUGGGUGUUUGCUUUUAUUUCUGUUUACCUUUAGUUUGGUGAAAGGAUUCUAUGACUAAAGUUAUUAGAAAUAAUUUUUUUAAGGAGGUUAUGCUCUGUAUAUGCAUUGAAACAUGUCUGCCUAUAUUUGAUAAAAUGCUCAUAUGAAAAUACCCAUUUUUCUUUUGCAUAGUUCUCUGUCAGAUUCCAUAAUUUUAAGAAAGAUUUUGUCAAGGACUAGGUGUGUUGCAAAAGAUUCAUUUGUCAUGUGAUUUAGGACUUUUUAUUAGGCACCAUGUCUAGGAUUCGAACAUUUUGUUUUAAGAACAGAUUUAGUUAAAAGUAAACUGUUUGGUUUACUUCAUGUCGUUCACACCCUAGAUUUGGUUUAUUUUAACUCAUGUCUUAAAAAAAUGAUCUCCUCUUCAUUAUUGAUUGUAAGGGCUCAUGAAUGACUAUAGAAGAUUGGUUUACUCAGUGUACUUUAAGAGGAUCACAUUUAGGCAAUAAAAUUAUUAAUUAUUCAUUUAAGCAUUAAAGAAAAGCAGUCUGUUGAAGUAUGAAGGUACAUACUCAUGGCUUUAGAUUAUCCUUCACCUGAGGUCUAGAUACUAUAACUAUUGGAUAUUAAGCUCACAAUUUAAAAAUGUUUGAUUCAAAACUUUCUUCAUGCAUAUCUAGAAACGUGGAUUUAAGAAACUAAAAGUAUUGAUGUAAGUUUGAUUGGUUCUUUCAUGGUUCUCCGGAAAAAAUCAUAUCUUUUUGAGGUAUUGUAAUUAGCCUUUAAAUCAAAAAUGGAAUUUUCGCAUUUGACAAAGAAUCUGUCUAAUUCCCUUAUAUUUUCUUGCUAUUAAAUGAGUUUGUCUUUCUCGUGAACUAGAAAUUAGUUUCUAGGAAUCUAUUUGAAUUUCAAAGACCAUAAGAGGGGAGAAUACAUACCGCUCUUGUUUUACUAGGUCUCGGCAUCAUUGUGAUCAGUAUUUUUUGGAAUAACUCGAUUACUUAGUUGAGAUUAUAAGUUAAAUAUGCACAUGUUGACUAGUGGAUCUCAUGCCUGUUGCUUUUCUUGCCUUAUGUCAAUUUUAGUUGCCAUGAAUUAGAAAGUUGUUUUACUCGGUUAAGAUCUCUAUCUAUGAAUAAUGUUCUGCUUUUGGACAAACGCCUUGAUUUUACUUGAGAUACUGCUAUCAGAAAGCAUAUCGUAGGAGAUUAUUUAAAAUGCACAUUGUUCAUAAUUCUCAGUAGCUUAAAUAGGCAGUACUAAUAUGAAGGGAGUAAUUAACCAAAUGCUACAUUGAUGACUAAUCCGUUCUUGUUCGGAAAUUAAGAAAUUGUGAAUCGAUGCGUUUCUUUAAUUUGGUGCAUUUUAAUUGUCCUUACAAUGUAUAGCAGUAUAAGGCUUCCUUACUAAUCUUUAUUUUUCCUUUUUUUUUUGCAUGAACACUUGGAGCGAUACGACUCUCCUCUACCCAAGCAUGGAGUCAUUAUAUUUCAUAUUCCUAUAGAUGCACCGGAUAGCAAGAAAACAAAUCCCAGUGCUGUAGACUUCGGACCGCAGUGAGAUUGUUAUUUUUGUUCAUCAAGCGACUCGAGGUUGUCCUGCAGGCGUCCGCAGGCCUUGGCGUCUCUUUCUAUCUGCUAUUCAUGUUUCUUUAAUGUAUUUCCAGAGACAGUGUUGUAUUUUUUUUUUAGACCUUUAUUUGUAGCACUUAUAGACAGUCUGUGAAGUUGUGACACCAGUCUUGGGUAGAUUUGUUAUGGAUUGGUAUUAGCAGUAUUAUUAAAACUUUACAAUGCAGCCUUCCGGUUAUUCAA